AUGACAGGGGGCCUGAGGGAGGGGAGACACACUCAGGGGACCGGCCCACGGGGCUCCCCUUGGCCAGCGGAGGAUCUCAGCGGUGGGGGAAGGGGCCGACCAGGGGAGGGGCUCCGGGCGAGGGGCUUGCUUCGGCUCCCGGGCGAGGGGCGGGAAGCCGAGCAGGUGCUCCGCGGGAAGACGGGCCCAGGGCCCAACUGGCCCCGCGCGGAGGGGGCUCUGACUGAGCGGGACAGACCCACCCAGAGAGGGGGCCUGCGCUGGACCUGGGGGAGGGGCCGGCUUGGCCCAGGGUCGCCCGGCAAGUACCGCGGGGGCGGGAGGGCGCGGAGGGGGAGCUGUCCAAGGUGGGCGCGCCGAGGGCCAGGGCCCCUCGGAUCUGGGGAGGGGGCUCCGGUGGGGGGGCCGCCGGGAGGAGGAGGGCCCGGCCCCGCGGCCGGGAGGGUGGGGCUCGGACAAAGGAGGGGCGCGCGCGUGAGGGGCGGCGGGGCCCGGAGCCCCGGCCCCCCGCCCCGGCCGCCUACCUGGGCGCUCGUCCUGCGGCGCCGCCGCGGCUGCUGCUGGCCGGCUCGUGUCCGCUCGGGCGCCGCCGCCCCCCGCGCGCCCGCCGCCCGCCCGCCCGAGCCGCCGCCGCCGCCGCCGCCGCCGCCGCCGCCGCGCCCGCGCCCGUCCCCGCCCGUCCCCGCCCGCCGGGCGCCGCGCUCCGCCCCUCCCCGGGGACCCGCGCCCGGCCAAGGUCACCGCCGCGCCGACCCCCGCCCCGCGCACACGCGCCCCUGCCGGCGCACCGGGGAGCCGCCGGGCCGCGGGGGCGCCGUGGGGUGGGGUCUGCCUCCGGGGGGCCCCUGCGCCCCAGGGUCACCCCGGAGCCAGGAGCUGGGCAAGAGCCGGGCAGAGUCGAGGUCACCCGGGGAGCAAAGGGAGGGGGCCGUUGGCAGAAGUGCACGUGAGGGGCUGGGGGAGCAGAAGGGGCCGGCGGGGGCGGGGGUGGGUUGGUGGGGCCCCACACUAGAGUGGGGCUGUUGCUGGGAUGAAGACGGCAUCUCCGACGAGGAGAUGUCUGAGGCAGCAGCUGGGGGGCAGUGGGAAUGUCCCUGGAGACCCCGCCCCCACCUGAGGGGCCUCCCCCCCCCCCCACUCCCGGCAGGGGCCGCAGAGGGGAGCGAGAGAGGAAGUGAAGACCGCGCUAGGUCUGGGUCUGGGUCGGGGGAUGGCAGCUGUAAGACUGGGGGCCCAUUUGAAUGGAGGGGUCAAUAA
RNAcentral lists this long non-coding RNA (1257 nucleotides) under Felis catus (domestic cat). RNAcentral's name for it is "lncRNA (ENSFCAG00000050068.1)". The record is from RNAcentral. Lineage: Eukaryota; Metazoa; Chordata; Mammalia; Carnivora; Felidae.